Molecule: RNA transcript, 1186 nt
Organism: Tupaia belangeri chinensis (Chinese tree shrew)
Lineage: Eukaryota; Metazoa; Chordata; Mammalia; Scandentia; Tupaiidae
Gene: TM2D1
Gene name: TM2 domain containing 1
Exons: 9
Source: RefSeq, a predicted model, not a curated record
CGGAAGUCGGGGGGGAAGUGCCGGUCCCCAACAUGGCGGCCGCCUGGCCUUCCAGGCCGGCUUCUCCAGAAACCAUGGCUGUCCAAGUCCUCGGUGUCCUGUGGUUUAUGUCAUUCACCACGGGACCUUGGGAGGCCGCCACCGGGGGCGAGACGCUUAAGUGCGAGGACCUCAAAAUGGGACAAUAUAUUUGUAAAGAUCCAAAAAUAAAUGAUGCUACACAAGAACCAGUUAACUGUACAAACUACACAGCUCACGUUUCAUGUUUCUCAGCACCCAACAUAACCUGUAAGGAUUUAAGUGGCAACGAAACACAUUUUACUGGAAAUGAAGUUGGUUUUCUCAAACCCAUAUCUUGCCGAAAUGUAAAUGGCUAUUCAUACAAAGUGGCAGGUGCAUUGUCUCUUUUUCUUGGAUGGCUGGGAGCAGAUCGGUUUUACCUUGGAUACCCUGCCUUGGGUUUGUUAAAGUUUUGCACAGUAGGGUUUUGUGGAAUUGGGAGCCUAAUUGAUUUCAUUCUUAUUUCAAUGCAGAUUGUUGGACCUUCAGAUGGAAGUAGUUACAUUAUAGAUUAUUAUGGAACCAGACUUACAAGACUGAGUAUCACUAAUGAAACAUAUAGAAAAACACAGUUCUAUCCAUAAAUAUUUUUAAAAAGAAACAUACAGAGAUUGCUUCAAGAGUAAGAAGAAAGUGUCCUGAGAUUUGAGCCUCAUGGUUGCUAUAGAGAACUUUCACUUUCAGAUCUGUCUUCGCCUUCAUAUCCAGGGGAGCCAAAGAUCACCAGGGUGUCUGUGAAACUUGGAGGCAACAUGGCUGCUUCUGAAUUUUUCCCUGUUUUUGCUUUGGGAGUGAUGCCCUGGGUUUGGAAGACUGGAUGCUGACUCAUCAAACUCACUCCAGUUAAUGUAUUUGAAGCUGGAUGGACAAGGGGAUAUGCCUAGAAGAUGCACCAGUGUCUGAAGGAAGCAGCUCCUGGACACUAGCACCAGGCCUUUCUGACUGUGUUUAGAAGGUUUUAAGAACAUGGGAAUACAUGAAACACUCUAUUCCCAUAAUACCCUGCUCUUUCUUUCUUUAUUAAUGGACAGAUCAGUUUCAAAAUUAGUGUGGUGUAGGGUCAGCAGGUGGCUUGAAAGCUAUGGUCCUGGAUCUUACAUGGCCAAUUCUGUGGUCAGAGGCCAGG